UACCGGUUUGACCGACGACCUUGGAUUCUUCCAUGACGAAUUGCCGGCACUGAGGGUUUCUAUUACGAGUGCACCGUUACUUUGGAACGUAUCCAACACUCAGUUUGUAAAACGUUUUAGUACUCGUGUUUCGGUGGAUUUUUAUUUUAUUUUCGUUUCUAGACAUUUCUAACCCCUUUGUGAAGGAAGAUUCGCUGUGUGUUUUUUUGUGAUU
Cinara cedri is the source of this 214-nucleotide non-coding RNA. NCBI's taxonomy places the organism in Eukaryota, Metazoa, Arthropoda, Insecta, Hemiptera, Aphididae. The record is from the annotation of a GenBank genome assembly.